GCCUGGGUGGCUCAGUUGGUUGGGCGUCUGACUUAGGCUCAGGUCAUGGUCUUGUGGCUCGUGGGUUCAAGUCCCGCGCCAGGCU
Non-coding RNA from Hyaena hyaena (striped hyena), 85 nucleotides. The record is from the annotation of a RefSeq genome assembly. NCBI's taxonomy places the organism in Eukaryota, Metazoa, Chordata, Mammalia, Carnivora, Hyaenidae.